ACGGGUGAGUAAUGUCUGGGGAUCUGCCCGAUAGAGGGGGAUAACCACUGGAAACGGUGGCUAAUACCGCAUAAUGUCGCAAGACCAAAGAGGGGGACCUUCGGGCCUCUCACUAUCGGAUGAACCCAGAUGGGAUUAGCUAGUAGGCGGGGUAACGGCCCACCUAGGCGACAAUCCCUAGCUGGUCUGAGAGGAUGACCAGCCACACUGGAACUGAGACACGGUCCAGACUCCUACGGGAGGCAGCAGUGGGGAAUAUUGCACAAUGGGCGCAAGCCUGAUGCAGCCAUGCCGCGUGUAUGAAGAAGGCCCUCGGGUUGUAAAGUACUUUCAGCGGGGAGGAAGGCAGUGAGGUUAAUAACCUUACUGAUUGACGUUACCCGCAGAAGAAGCACCGGCUAACUCCGUGCCAGCAGCCGCGGUAAUACGGAGGGUGCAAGCGUUAAUCGGAAUUACUGGGCGUAAAGCGCACGCAGGCGGUCUGUUAAGUCAGAUGUGAAAUCCCCGGGCUUAACCUGGGAACUGCAUUUGAAACUGGCAGGCUUGAGUCUCGUAGAGGGGGGUAGAAUUCCAGGUGUAGC
Molecule: ribosomal RNA, 581 nt
Filed under: uncultured bacterium
Lineage: Bacteria
Description: bacterial SSU rRNA
Rfam family: Bacterial small subunit ribosomal RNA
Source: RNAcentral